UUCUUAUAAAUUUUAUAAUAAGUACAACCUGCCCAGUGAACUUUAAACGGUUAUAUAAUAGUAUUAAAGUAGCGUAAUAAAUUGUCAUUUAAUUGAUGAAUAUAAUGAAGGUUUUAUGAAUUAAAUUCUGUCUUUAAGAAAUAAAAUAAAAUUAAUAAUAUAGUGAAAAAUCAUAUUUUUUUUUAAAAGACGAUAAGACCCUAUAGAACUUAUUUAAAAUUUUAAAUUUACUGGGGAAGUAAAAAUAUAAAAAAAACUAUUUUUAAAAAAAAAAAUUACAAAUUUUUAUUAUAACCAUUCAAAAAAUAAUAAUGAUUAAAAAGUUACCUUAGGGAUAACAGCAUUAAAAAUAUAAAAAGUCCUUAUUUUAAUAUUUUUUAAUGACCUCGAUGUUGAAUUAAGAUAAAUUUAAAAAGCAAAAUUUUUAUUUAAUUAAGUCUGUUCGACUUUUAAAAUCUU
RNAcentral lists this ribosomal RNA (459 nucleotides) under Kladothrips tepperi. RNAcentral's name for it is "partial 16S ribosomal RNA". The record is from RNAcentral. Lineage: Eukaryota; Metazoa; Arthropoda; Insecta; Thysanoptera; Phlaeothripidae.